Venturia canescens is the source of this 446-nucleotide long non-coding RNA. RefSeq lists it as uncharacterized. The record is from RefSeq and is a predicted model, not a curated record. NCBI's taxonomy places the organism in Eukaryota, Metazoa, Arthropoda, Insecta, Hymenoptera, Ichneumonidae. The transcript is spliced from 2 exons.
GUAGCCUUCGUCAAUUAUUACUCUAGGACGUUUCACUGAGCGACUGGCUCUCUGUUCGAAAAUGGGUCAAUUCCAUGACAGUAUUUCGUUUGCUCGUAUAAAAGCUAUUUUCGAGACAUUGCGAUUUCUCAUAGUCAACAACAAUCAAGAGUAAUCGAUUCCAGUUUAUUUGCACAAUGACCGCGUGGGAAUAAUUUCUCCUAAAUCAUUCGAAGGGCUGCCAAAAGUAUCUUUUCAUCUGCUACUUCAAACUUUCACAAUCGCUGACGACCGGCACGAUCCCAAGCUAGUGCGAUCGACGUGCAACACCCGUUUCACCAACGGCUUACAAUGAUACACGAGUGUUCAAAACGCUUGUCUGCAGAUUACUAAUGAGAAUGACGCCCCGUGUACGUGCACUUAUUGCAAUUAUUCUUUGCAAAAUAAAACUCGCAAGGUCGACCGCA